Molecule: long non-coding RNA, 464 nt
Filed under: Mytilus galloprovincialis (Mediterranean mussel)
Lineage: Eukaryota; Metazoa; Mollusca; Bivalvia; Mytilida; Mytilidae
Source: RNAcentral
UAUCUAUUGAUACAUGAUCAAAAAUAUUAUAAAAAUGAUAGGUCACCGUGCAUUUUCUCAAGCUAUAGGUUGUGACAAAAUGACACAUUUUGUAUGGAUUAUACAGGAAAAAACACCAUUUUGUGAAUAAAAACUAAACAAAAUGAUAGAAUUGUAAAAUAAAUUAGGAAAAGAUUGCUUUCAGACAAUGGUUUGAGAAUAUCAAAAGAAAAGAUAGGGUCACCGUACGUUUUUUCCGGCUAAAAGACAAAAUAGGAAAAUUUCAUGUAGAGUCCUUCAGAAAAUGCACUGUUAUAGAGUUACCUCCCCUUACAAUGCCAAUUUGAAAAAAUAUUCAAAAACAACCAAAAUUAAUCUACAUUUGUAAAAAUAUUAAUAUUUCUAAGUAAUAUUCUUAUAAAUUGGUUCUUUUAAAUGAAAAUUCACAUUAAACUCUGCAUUCCUGCAUCAAAUUUUGAUAAUUU